This is a non-coding RNA of Nothobranchius furzeri (turquoise killifish), 1237 nucleotides long. The record is from RefSeq and is a predicted model, not a curated record. NCBI's taxonomy places the organism in Eukaryota, Metazoa, Chordata, Actinopteri, Cyprinodontiformes, Nothobranchiidae.
AAUAUUCCAAAGCUACAGCAAAUUAUAAAUGAAAACCUAAACUUCGAGGAUGAACUGAUUCUGGUUUUUAGAGCCGAUGCCGAUUUGUGAUUCUUGUGUAGUUCUGACCUGCCAAAACAGAUUUAUUUCAAAGAACUACUGCUUUAAAUUUCUGAUGUUUUUGAAAAUGAUUUUUCUGGAAGUAAAACAAAGUCUGAUUAGUAAGACUGUUGAUCUGAUGUCCAUUUUCAAUGUUGUGAGUGACCAGAAAAAAUGAAAAAAUAUCCUUGUUGUCUCAAUAGUUGUGAAAGAGACCUUAAAAGAAAAAUACUUUCUUAACAUAAUUUCUUUUUCUAUAAAUCUUGGUAUUUAAAUUAUGGUUCGGUUAAAUAAGGAAUCUAACUGUUUUGUAAUUUUUAUGCAUUUCAGUCAGAUCAGCAUAGUUUAAUUAUCAUCACCUACUGAUUUCAGUCCUUUGGCGCGUGGAGUCCACAGAAAGUUAAAGACAGAGUGACGGAGGUCUUCUACGGCUGGACGCUCUGGCUUAAAGAGGAACCUAAGAUUCAGGAAGCCUACAACAUGCUGAAGAAACAAGGCAUCGUGAAGAAGGAUCCCACACUUCCAGACACAGUUGUUAUGGCUCCUCCGCCUCAAAGAACCACAGAGUCUGUUUUUUGAUCAAGACGACAAGGCCAAGAUGUUGGUUAGACUACUGAGGAGUGGCCAUCCUGAAGACCUGGAAACCGCCAACAGGCUCAUUAAAAGCACCAUCCAGGAGGCGAGGAGCACUGCAGCACUGCUGGUCCUCAUAUUUGAUUUAAUGGUGGUAUGGAUGAAUCUUUGGAUGAAUCUUCGGUUGUGUCUUAGGAGCAGGAAAAGGCUGAGAAAGUGUCAAAGCGAGAGUCAACCCUGAUGGAGGUUGAGAGCAGCACCAACCAGCUGAGAGAGCUUCUGUAUCAGCACAUCGAUACUGAAACCUCGUUACAAACCAGUGAUGACGUGAAGGCAUGUUGCGUUUCAAACUGAUGUUUGUUAAUAAUAUCCGACUGUUAACAACAAAAAUUACUUACCAGUGUCUUACUCCACCCACACUUCUUUUUUGAUAUUUCAUCACUGUUUUGGGUCUGUUACAGAUCUUGGCUGAACAUUUGUUAUUUUAUUGUAAAUUUCAGAUAUGCCAUGUAUUUAAAAUGUUCAAAUAAGUGUAACCGUCAGUACUGUUAUGACAUAUUUCCAUUAACACUAACAAGCUUCCGGU